ACUCAAAGGAAUUGACGGGGGCCCGCACAAGCGGUGGAGCAUGUGGUUUAAUUCGACGCAACGCGAAGAACCUUACCUACCCUUGACAUCCUAGGAAUCUUGCAGAGAUGCAGGAGUGCCGAAAGGAACCUAGAGACAGGUGCUGCAUGGCUGUCGUCAGCUCGUGUUGUGAGAUGUUGGGUUAAGUCCCGUAACGAGCGCAACCCCUAUCCUUAGUUGCCAACACGUAAUGGUGGGGACUCUAAGGAGACUGCUGGUGAUGAACCGGAGGAAGGUGGGGACGACGUCAAGUCAUCAUGGCCUUUAUGGGUAGGGCUACACACGUGCUACAAUGGGACGUACAGAGGGAAGCGAACCCGCGAGGGGGAGCGAAUCCUUAAAAGCGUCUCGUAGUCCGGAUUGAAGUCUGCAACUCGACUUCAUGAAGUUGGAAUCGCUAGUAAUCGCGAAUCAGAAUGUCGCGGUGAAUACGUUCCCGGGCCUUGUACACACCGCCCGU
RNAcentral lists this ribosomal RNA (499 nucleotides) under uncultured bacterium. RNAcentral's name for it is "partial 16S ribosomal RNA". It matches the Rfam family "Bacterial small subunit ribosomal RNA", at positions 899 to 1397 of the family's 1533-position model. The record is from RNAcentral.